This 253-nucleotide ribosomal RNA is filed under the name uncultured bacterium. RNAcentral describes it as "partial 16S ribosomal RNA". It matches the Rfam family "Bacterial small subunit ribosomal RNA", at positions 524 to 776 of the family's 1533-position model. The record is from RNAcentral.
UACAGAGGGUGCAAGCGUUAAUCGGAAUUACUGGGCGUAAAGCGUGCGUAGACGGUUACAUAAGUCGGGUGUGAAAGCCCCGGGCUCAACCUGGGAAUUGCAUUCGAGACUGCGUAGCUAGGGUGCGGAAGAGGGAAGCGGAAUUUCCGGUGUAGCGGUGAAAUGCGUAGAUAUCGGAAGGAACACCAGUGGCGAAAGCGGCUUCCUGGUCCAGCACCGACGUUCAGGCACGAAAGCGUGGGGGGCAAACAGG